GCGUGAGUGAUGUAGGCCUUAGGGUUGUAAAGCUCUUUCACCGGGGACGAUAAUGACGGUACCGGGAGAAGAAGCCCCGGCUAACUUCGUGCCAGCAGCCGCGGUAAUA
RNAcentral lists this ribosomal RNA (109 nucleotides) under uncultured bacterium. RNAcentral describes it as "partial 16S ribosomal RNA". It matches the Rfam family "Bacterial small subunit ribosomal RNA", at positions 399 to 525 of the family's 1533-position model. The record is from RNAcentral.